UUGAGGACGACCUCAGCCUGACAUGCACCACUUUUCAUCGACAGGUAUUCACAUCGGGGACGGCCCC
RNAcentral lists this small RNA (67 nucleotides) under Shewanella frigidimarina NCIMB 400. RNAcentral's name for it is "mini-ykkC.2008-01-16 RNA". The record is from RNAcentral. Lineage: Bacteria; Pseudomonadati; Pseudomonadota; Gammaproteobacteria; Alteromonadales; Shewanellaceae.